CCUAGGGUGGCUGCAGUAAGGAAUAUUGCGCAAUGGAGGCAACUCUGACGCAGCCAUGCCGCGUGCAGGAAGAAGGCCUUAUGGGUCGUAAACUGCUUUUAUUUAGGAAUAAACCCCCGAACGUGUUCGGGGCUGAAGGUACUAAACGAAUAAGCACCGGCUAACUCCGUGCCAGCAGCCGCGGUAAUACGGAGGGUGCAAGCGUUAUCCGGAUUUAUUGGGUUUAAAGGGUGCGCAGGCGGGCUAUUAAGUCAGUGGUGAAAUCCCGGGGCUCAACUCCGGAACUGCCAUUGAUACUGAUAGUCUUGAGUUUGGUUGAAGUGGGCGGAAUGUAGCAUGUAGCGGUGAAAUGCAUAGAUAUGCUACAGAACACCAAUCGCGAAGGCAGCUCACUAAGCCAAAACUGACGCUCAUGCACGAAAGCGUGGGGAUCAAACAGGAUUAGAUACCCGUGUAGUC
Molecule: ribosomal RNA, 459 nt
Filed under: uncultured bacterium
Lineage: Bacteria
Description: partial 16S ribosomal RNA
Rfam family: Bacterial small subunit ribosomal RNA
Source: RNAcentral